CGUAANCUUUGACUUAUCCGCCGAGUACUACGAGCAACAGCUUAAAACUCAAAGGACUUGGCGGUGCUCUACACCCCCCUAGAGGAGCCUGUUCUGUAAUCGAUAAUCCCCGAUAAACCUCACCAUCUAUUGCCAAUACAGCCUAUAUACCACCGUCCAGCCCGCCCUUUAAAGGUUAAAAAGCAGGCACAACUAUAACCAUAAAAACGUCAGGUCAAGGUGUAGCUAAUAAGAUGGGAAGAAAUGGGCUACAUUUUCUAACCUAGAAUACACGAAAAAGUUUUUGAAACAAAACUUCGAAGGAGGAUUUAGCAGUAAAAAGAAAGAAGAGCGUUCUUUUUAAGCCGGCAAUGGAGCGCGCACACACCGCCCG
This 373-nucleotide ribosomal RNA is filed under the name Pleurodeles waltl (Iberian ribbed newt). RNAcentral describes it as "partial 12S ribosomal RNA". It matches the Rfam family "Bacterial small subunit ribosomal RNA", at positions 852 to 1396 of the family's 1533-position model. Lineage: Eukaryota; Metazoa; Chordata; Amphibia; Caudata; Salamandridae. The record is from RNAcentral.